CUUGCUCUGUGGGAUCAGUGGCGAACGGGUGAGUAACACGUGAGCAACCUGCCCCUGACUCUGGGAUAAGCGCUGGAAACGGCGUCUAAUACUGGAUAUGUGACGUGACCGCAUGGUCUGCGUUUGGAAAGAUUUUUCGGUUGGGGAUGGGCUCGCGGCCUAUCAGCUUGUUGGUGAGGUAAUGGCUCACCAAGGCGUCGACGGGUAGCCGGCCUGAGAGGGUGACCGGCCACACUGGGACUGAGACACGGCCCAGACUCCUACGGGAGGCAGCAGUGGGGAAUAUUGCACAAUGGGCGAAAGCCUGAUGCAGCAACGCCGCGUGAGGGAUGACGGCCUUCGGGUUGUAAACCUCUUUUAGCAGGGAAGAAGCGAAAGUGACGGUACCUGCAGAAAAAGCGCCGGCUAACUACGUGCCAGCAGCCGCGGUAAUACGUAGGGCGCAAGCGUUAUCCGGAAUUAUUGGGCGUAAAGAGCUCGUAGGCGGUUUGUCGCGUCUGCUGUGAAAUCCCGAGGCUCAACCUCGGGCCUGCAGUGGGUACGGGCAGACUAGAGUGCGGUAGGGGAGAUUGGAAUUCCUGGUGUAGCGGUGGAAUGCGCAGAUAUCAGGAGGAACACCGAUGGCGAAGGCAGAUCUCUGGGCCGUAACUGACGCUGAGGAGCGAAAGGGUGGGGAGCAAACAGGCUUAGAUACCCUGGUAGUCCCACCCCCGUAAACGUUUGGGAAACUAGUUGUUGGGG
This 741-nucleotide ribosomal RNA is filed under the name Microbacterium paraoxydans. RNAcentral describes it as "bacterial SSU rRNA". It matches the Rfam family "Bacterial small subunit ribosomal RNA", at positions 79 to 828 of the family's 1533-position model. The record is from RNAcentral. Lineage: Bacteria; Bacillati; Actinomycetota; Actinomycetes; Micrococcales; Microbacteriaceae.